RNAcentral lists this ribosomal RNA (774 nucleotides) under Galathea dispersa. RNAcentral's name for it is "bacterial SSU rRNA". It matches the Rfam family "Eukaryotic small subunit ribosomal RNA", at positions 51 to 759 of the family's 1831-position model. The record is from RNAcentral. Lineage: Eukaryota; Metazoa; Arthropoda; Malacostraca; Decapoda; Galatheidae.
AUGCAUGUGUAAGUACGAGCAAAGUUAAUGCUCUAGCCGCGGACGGCUCAUUAAAUCAGCUAUGAUUUGUUGGUUCUUUACACCCAGUUUAUUUGGAUAACUGUGGUAAUUCUAGAGCUAAUACAUGAUUCCUAUAGUCCCUAACUUUAUGAAAAUAGAGGAAGGGUGCUUUUACUAUUGAAACCAAACUUGGUUGUUGUAAUAUCAUGCUUCGGUGUGUUUUACAAGAAAUCCCAUAUAUGAUGACUCAGAAUAAUUUCUGGCUGAGCGCAUGGCCUUUGUGCUAGCGCUGUUUCUUUCAAGUGUCUGCCUUAUCAGCUUUCGAUUGUAAGUUAUGUGCUUACAAUGGCUAUAACGGGUAACGGGGAAUCAGGGUUCGAUUCCGGAGAGGGAGCCUGAGAAACGGCUACCAGUUCUAAGGAAGGCAGCAGGCACGCAAAUUACCCACUCCCAGCACGGGGAGGUAGUGACGAAAAAUAACGAUGCAAGACUCAUCCGAGGCUUUGCAAUCGGAAUGAGAACACUUUAAAUCCUUUAUCUAGGAUCCAUUGGAGGGCAAGUCUGGUGCCAGCAGCCGCGGUAAUUCCAGCUCCAAUAGCAUAUAUUAAAGUUGUUGCGGUUAAAAAGCUCGUAGUUGGGUCUGUACAUGAGCUUUGACCUCUAGUCAGCACAUUGUGUUUGACUAUAAACAAAGACUCAUCCUGAAUCUACUCGCACGUUUCGUGUGGGUUUAGCCAAUUUAACACGGUAAUGCUCUUUACUGAGUAUACCGAG